UUUUUGUCGAAAUGAUCGAAGAGGCAGGGAUCGAAGAGCAGGACGGAAU
Molecule: small RNA, 49 nt
Filed under: Parachlamydia acanthamoebae
Lineage: Bacteria; Pseudomonadati; Chlamydiota; Chlamydiia; Parachlamydiales; Parachlamydiaceae
Description: Flavo-1
Source: RNAcentral